Molecule: ribosomal RNA, 332 nt
Filed under: uncultured Gemmatimonas sp.
Lineage: Bacteria; Pseudomonadati; Gemmatimonadota; Gemmatimonadia; Gemmatimonadales; Gemmatimonadaceae
Description: bacterial SSU rRNA
Rfam family: Bacterial small subunit ribosomal RNA
Source: RNAcentral
GGCUCAGAACGAACGCUGGCGGCGUGCCUAACACAUGCAAGUCACGGGGGCCAGCAAUGGCAACCGGCGAACGGGUGCGUAACACGUGAGCAAUCUGCCGAUUUCUGGGGGAUAGCCGGCCCAACGGCCGGGUAAUACCGCAUACGCUUCUUGCGAGGAGUCUCGUGGGAAGGAAACCUCCGGGGGAAAUCGAGGAGCUCGCGGCCUAUCAGCUAGUUGGCGGGGUCAAGGCCCACCAAGGCGAUGACGGGUAGCUGGUCUGAGAGGAUGGCCAGCCACAUUGGGACUGAGAGACGGAACAGACUCCUACGGUUCUCAGCAGUGGUGAUUCU